ACUCAAAUGAAUUGACGGGGGCCCGCACAAGCGGUGGAGCAUGUGGUUUAAUUCGACGCAACGCGAAGAACCUUACCUGGGCUUGAACUGCAGUGGACCGGUGCAGAGAUGUGCCUUUUCGCAAGAACUGCUGCAGAGGUGCUGCAUGGCUGUCGUCAGCUCGUGUCGUGAGAUGUUGGGUUAAGUCCCGCAACGAGCGCAACCCUUACCCGUAGUUGCCAGCGCGUCAUGGCGGGAACUCUACGGGGACUGCCCGGGUUAACCGGGAGGAAGGUGGGGAUGAUGUCAAGUCCUCAUGGCCCUUAUGUCCAGGGCUACACACGUGCUACAAUGGGCGAUACAAACCGUUGCAAAGUCGCGAGAUGGAGCUAAUCGGAGAAAGUCGUCCUCAGUUCGGAUUGUAGUCUGCAACUCGACUACAUGAAGGUGGAAUCGCUAGUAAUCGUGUAUCAGAAUGAUACGGUGAAUACGUUCCCGGGCCUUGUACACACCGCCCGU
RNAcentral lists this ribosomal RNA (498 nucleotides) under uncultured bacterium. RNAcentral describes it as "partial 16S ribosomal RNA". It matches the Rfam family "Bacterial small subunit ribosomal RNA", at positions 899 to 1397 of the family's 1533-position model. The record is from RNAcentral.